GAUGAACGCUGGCGGCGUGCCUAAUACAUGCAAGUCGAGCGGUAAGGCCACUUCGGUGGUACACGAGCGGCGGACGGCUGAGUAACACGUAGGAACGUACCCCAAAGUGAGGCAUAAGCACCAGAAAUGGUGUCUAAUACCGCAUGUGAUCUUCGGGAUUAAAGCUUCGGCGCUUUGGGAACGGCCUGCGCAUGAUUAGCUUGUUGGUGAGGUAAAGCUCACCAAGGCGACGAUCAUUAGCUGGUCUGAGAGGAUGACCAGCCAGACUGGGACUGAGACACGGCCCAGACUCCUACGGGAGGCAGCAGUAGGGAAUCUUGCAACAAUGGGGGAAACCCUGAUGCAGCGACGCCGCGUGAGCGAUGAAGCCCUU
RNAcentral lists this ribosomal RNA (373 nucleotides) under uncultured bacterium. RNAcentral describes it as "bacterial SSU rRNA". It matches the Rfam family "Bacterial small subunit ribosomal RNA", at positions 28 to 418 of the family's 1533-position model. The record is from RNAcentral.